GUUUCUUUACUGGGAAAGUUCCGUAAUGUGAGGCAUCGAUGCGCGGCGGUGCAUCCGCGGGGACACGGCCUGGGGCACACGGCCCAGCACUGCUUAUGUGUGCAUAGGCUGCAGCUGAUGGAUGGACAGAUGGACAGACAGGCAGACAAACGGACAGGCAGACAGACAGAUGGAUGAAUAGGCAGAUGGACAGGCAGACAGAUGGAGCAGUGGAUGGACAGGCAGAUGGACGGGCAGACAGAUGGAUAGACAUGUGGACAGGCAGUCAAAGAGAUAGACAGAUAGGCAGACAGAUGGACCGAUAGGCAGACAGGUGGACAGAUGGGCAGGCAGACAGAUGGACAGGGAGACAGACAGGCAGACAGAUGGACGGACAGGUGAACAGGCAGGCAGACAAACAGAUAGACAGGCAGACAGAUGGACAGGCAGACAGACGGAUGGACCAUUGGACAGAUGGACGGGCUGACAGAUAGACAGGCAGUCGGACAGCUGGCCAUGGCAGUCCUGUGGCACUGGGCAGCCCUGGCGUUCCGUGUGCCCGGGGCCGGGCUGCCCUCCUCCAGCUGUGGUUCCACACAGGUGAAUAUUUU
Molecule: long non-coding RNA, 590 nt
Filed under: Gallus gallus (chicken)
Lineage: Eukaryota; Metazoa; Chordata; Aves; Galliformes; Phasianidae
Description: long non-coding RNA NONGGAT004849
Source: RNAcentral